CCAGCCCCGCUCAGAAGUCAAGAGCAGCAGCGCCGCCGCCUCCGUGCGGCCUUUCAGGACGCGGCCUGUCCUUAUCCUCGUGCCUCGCCCUCUCUGGUCGCCCCGGACAAAGCCCCCGGUGCCGGCCGCUCCCUUCCCUCUAAAUCUCCUUCGGGUCAAUGCGCUACCAGCACCGGGCCGCGCGCUUUCCCUGCCAGCCUUGUGCUCUUAAAGAGCCGCACCCCCUACCCCCGCCCCGCUCCCCCGACCCCCGCCUCUCGCCCUUCUCUGGAUCUAGCCCCCCACGCUGAUGCCCCGACCGUCGCCCGCGGAC
Molecule: non-coding RNA, 313 nt
Organism: Myotis brandtii (Brandt's bat)
Lineage: Eukaryota; Metazoa; Chordata; Mammalia; Chiroptera; Vespertilionidae
Source: Rfam